The sequence is an antisense RNA, 75 nucleotides long. It matches the Rfam family "ASpks TB sRNA".
CUUGAUCGAGCCGAGCCGCAGCGGCCGGCCCUCGGGCCGGUCCUGGCCGUAGGUCGCCAGCAGCGCCUGCGCCUC